This 867-nucleotide ribosomal RNA is filed under the name uncultured archaeon. RNAcentral's name for it is "bacterial SSU rRNA". It matches the Rfam family "Archaeal small subunit ribosomal RNA", at positions 4 to 878 of the family's 1478-position model. The record is from RNAcentral.
CCGGUUGAUCCUGCCGGACCCGACUGCUAUCAGAGUGGGACUAAGCCAUGCGAGUCAACAUAGCAAUAUGUGGCAUACGGCUCAGUAACACGUAGUCAACAUGCCCAGGGGACGUGGAUAACCUCGGGAAACUGAGGAUAAACCGCGAUAGGUCAUCACUUCUGGAAUGGGUAAUGACUUAAAUCUAUAUGGCCCCUGGAUUGGACUGCGGCCGAUCAGGCUGUUGGUGAGGUAAUGGCCCACCAAACCUGUAACCGGUACGGGCUCUGAGAGGAGGAGCCCGGAGAUGGGCACUGAGACAAGGGCCCAGGCCCUAUGGGGCGCAGCAGGCGCGAAACCUCUGCAAUAGGCGAAAGCUUGACAGGGUUACUCUGAGUGAUUUCCGUUAAGGAGAUCUUUUGGCACCUCUAAAAAUGGUGCAGAAUAAGGGGUGGGCAAGUCUGGUGUCAGCCGCCGCGGUAAUACCAGCACCCCGAGUGGUCGGGACGUUUAUUGGGCCUAAAGCAUCCGUAGCCGGUUCUACAAGUCUUCCGUUAAAUCCACCUGCUUAACAGAUGGGCUGCGGAAGAUACUAUAGAGCUAGGAGGCGGGAGAGGCAAGCGGUACUCGAUGGGUAGGGGUAAAAUCCGUUGAUCCAUUGAAGACCACCAGUGGCGAAGGCGGCUUGCCAGAACGCGCUCGACGGUGAGGGAUGAAAGCUGGGGGAGCAAACCGGAUUAGAUACCCGGGUAGUCCCAGCUGUAAACGAUGCAGACUCGGUGAUGAGUUGGCUUAUUGCUAACUCAGUGCCGCAGGGAAGCCGUUAAGUUUGCCGCCUGGGGAGUACGGUCGCAAGACUGAAACUUAAAGGAAUUGGCGGGGGGAGCA